GACGAACGCUGGCGGCGUGCUUAACACAUGCAAGUCGAACGGAAAGGCCCUGCUUUUGUGGGGUGCUCGAGUGGCGAACGGGUGAGUAACACGUGAGUAACCUGCCCUUGACUUUGGGAUAACUUCAGGAAACUGGGGCUAAUACCGGAUAGGAGCUCCUGCUGCAUGGUGGGGGUUGGAAAUUUUCGGCGGUUGGGGAUGGACUCGCGGCUGAUCAGCUUGUUGGUGGGGUAGUGGCUUACCAAGGCUUUGACGGGUAGCCGGCCUGAGAGGGUGACCGGCCACAUUGGGACUGAGAUACGGCCCAGACUCCUACGGGAGGCAGCAGUGGGGAAUAUUGCACAAUGGGCGGAAGCCUGAUGCAGCAACGCCGCGUGCGGGAUGACGGCCUUCGGGUUGUAAACCGCUUUCGCCUGUGACGAAGCGUGAGUGACGGUAAUGGGUAAAGAAGCACCGGCUAACUACGUG
Molecule: ribosomal RNA, 468 nt
Filed under: uncultured bacterium
Lineage: Bacteria
Description: partial 16S ribosomal RNA
Rfam family: Bacterial small subunit ribosomal RNA
Source: RNAcentral